This 443-nucleotide ribosomal RNA is filed under the name uncultured bacterium. RNAcentral describes it as "partial 16S ribosomal RNA". It matches the Rfam family "Bacterial small subunit ribosomal RNA", at positions 355 to 784 of the family's 1533-position model. The record is from RNAcentral.
UGGGGAAUAUUGCACAAUGGGCGCAAGCCUGAUGCAGCCAUGCCGCGUGUGUGAAGAAGGCCUUCGGGUUGUAAAGCACUUUCAGCGAGGAGGAAGGUGGUGAGCUUAAUACGCUCAUCAAUUGACGUUACUCGCAGAAGAAGCACCGGCUAACUCCGUGCCAGCAGCCGCGGUAAUACGGAGGGUGCAAGCGUUAAUCGGAAUUACUGGGCGUAAAGCGCACGCAGGCGGUUUGUUAAGUCAGAUGUGAAAAUCCCCGGGCUCAACCUGGGAACUGCAUUUGAAAACUGGCAAGCUAGAGUCUCGUAGAGGGGGGUAGAAUUCCAGGUAGUAGCGGUGAAAUGCGUAGAGAUCUGGAGGAAUACCGGUGGCGAAGGCGGCCCCCCUGGACGAAGACUGACGCUCAGGUGCGAAAAGCGUGGGGAGCAAAACAGGAUUAGAUA